CCUACGGGCGGCAGCAGUGAGGAAUAUUGGUCAAUGGACGAGAGUCUGAACCAGCCAAGUCGCGUGAAGGAUGACUGCCCUAUGGGUUGUAAACUUCUUUUAUAUGGGAAUAAACGGUUCCACGGGUGGCUUUUUGUAUGUACCAUAUGAAUAAGGAUCGGCUAACUCCGUGCCAGCAGCCGCGGUAAUACGGAGGAUCCGAGCGUUAUCCGGAUUUAUUGGGUUUAAAGGGUGCGUAGGUGGUUGGUUAAGUCAGUGGUGAAAGUUUGCGGCUCAACCGUAAAAUUGCAGUUGAAACUGGCAGUCUUGAGUACAGUAGAGGUGGGCGGAAUUCGUGGUGUAGCGGUGAAAUGCUUAGAUAUCACGAAGAACUCCGAUUGCGAAGGCAGCUCACUGGACUGCAACUGACACUGAGGCUCGAAAGUGUGGGUAUCAAACAGGAUUAGAUACCCCGGUAGUC
Molecule: ribosomal RNA, 460 nt
Filed under: uncultured bacterium
Lineage: Bacteria
Description: partial 16S ribosomal RNA
Rfam family: Bacterial small subunit ribosomal RNA
Source: RNAcentral